GUGCUGCCCAGGCCACUGGUGGGAACCUUGGGCUCACGUCGGACCAGUGUCAGAUCACACGGAAAGUGUAAGAUUCCGCCUCAGAGUUCGACUGCGAGCAGCUGCUUCUUGGCAACCACAGUGCAGUGGUAUUAACUGGUGAUGGGAGGGAGGUGAUCAGUGCUGUGUUAUUACCAGUUUCCCCUUCGACAGUAGCUGGGGCCUCGGCACUGUGGAGGUUCUCACCUCCGGUACCUAUCACAAUUGGUGGGGGAAAGCGGUAUCCCUUGCUGCCUCGAACACCUCUGGCAUGGAUGGACGUACCGGGGCUGUACUCUGAUGGCUCUCCCUCGGUGGGGAGUCCAACGGUACCGGACUUGAUGGGUCUCUUCCCUGGGCUGGAAUCAACGGUACCGAACUGGCAGCUGUUGAGUGCAAAUGGCCCGGCACAAGUUGCACUCUGCCAAUUUCCCUGAGACUGGCAGACCCCAGAGUUGGGGAACGCCCCUUUGUCCGUUUUCCUUUGCUUUUUCUUCGGCACCGGUGACUGGGAGUUGUGCCGGAUGUCCCCUGGAGGCGUAAGCCUCUUCUGUGCUGGAGAACCCUGGCGGUGCCACAAGUCCCGGAAUAUGGAUGAAGAGUUCUUCCUCGGUGCCGGUGAGGCCAAGCUGCACUACCCGUCUCUCAGAGGUAGAGGUGCUCAAUGCCAAGACGGCUUAGCUCAGCUCUGAGGGGUGGAAAACCACCUCCAUAAUGAGGAAUUUAAGUCUCUGGUCUUUGUCCUUUAAGAUGUGACAAUGGCAAACAGGCUAUUGUGAAUUAGGCACAGGACUUUGCUGGGAGGUUGUUGAAGACUUUGGUAAAAACAAGUAUUUGGGGAAACAAAUGCAUAGGAAAGAGUGAAAACAGAGGGACAGAAGGAAGGAGAUCCAUAAAACCUUAAAUGGAACAGGGCCAGGUGUUUGUUCCUGGAUGACUCCUCUCAAAUAGAUUUACAUCAAGGCUAGACACCUAUGUGUUGAUGGCCCAUCAAGGACACUCAGUUCUCACAACGGGCUGUAGAAGAAACUCAUCCCGCCCAGACAGCUCUCCCUGAAGAUUCCUCAGACACCAAGGGGCCAAUGGCCAACCUCUGUGACUCAGCAAAACAUGUGACAUGCUCAUGUUACCCUGGAAUCCAUCUUGAGCCAGUAACUUUCCACAAAAGGGGCUAUGGGCUUUGUUUGGGACAGUAAAAAUUCCAUGCAAAUGGCAGAAGAUAUAAAAGACCCCUGAAACAUCUUCAUUUUGUCUCCAUUUCCUGCUUUAUUUCUCAGCACUGGAUUUCUAACAAAGAAGCUUUAACCAAGGACCGAUGACCCCCAAUCAUUCCAGAGAGACUUUUGCAAGCCGGCAGUUUAUUUCAUUACUGCUGUGAUCCUGAUCUAUGAACACUGAAAAUCACUUGCAUGUCUAUAAUCCUUUAACCAU
Mauremys mutica (yellowpond turtle) is the source of this 1449-nucleotide long non-coding RNA. RefSeq lists it as uncharacterized. The record is from RefSeq and is a predicted model, not a curated record. NCBI's taxonomy places the organism in Eukaryota, Metazoa, Chordata, Testudines, Geoemydidae. The transcript has 3 exons.